This is a non-coding RNA of Salvia hispanica, 282 nucleotides long. NCBI's taxonomy places the organism in Eukaryota, Viridiplantae, Streptophyta, Magnoliopsida, Lamiales, Lamiaceae. The record is from RefSeq and is a predicted model, not a curated record.
ACCAUCUGCACCACAAAUUCAACAAUUUAUUUUUUAACCUACAAAAAUCGAUGAUUAAAAAAACAGCACACCUAUUUCCCAACAAACUAUGGAGUUUGAUAAUCAUCUCAUCUUCUUCUUCACUGAAAUUCCCCCUUUUCAAAUCAGGCCUCAGAUUUAGGGAGAGAGCGCCAAUUCCCCUCGCCGUGAGCUCGUAUGUAAUUGAUGAGGCGUUGAUCUUCAUCCUUAUAUAUAGUGUAAUUUUAUCACGUAAUAUUAUCACGCAAUAUUAUGUUUAGGUCA